Bombyx mori (domestic silkworm) is the source of this 277-nucleotide long non-coding RNA. RefSeq lists it as uncharacterized. The transcript has 3 exons. Lineage: Eukaryota; Metazoa; Arthropoda; Insecta; Lepidoptera; Bombycidae. The record is from RefSeq and is a predicted model, not a curated record.
CGAACAACCAAUUCACUUGAUUUCUCGGUAUUGUAACAGUGUACCUACAUUCAAUCAAUUUCGACUAAAUAUUUGAUAUGUGAUGGUAAAGUUUUUCGCGGCCGUGCUGAAAGCUUCCCUGAAAAUCAAGUUUAUUUGAUCAGUUACACUGAUGCUACGUGAGAGAAGGUUUGCGACUGGCCACGGGAGCUUUCCUCUCAACCAAGACGGGUGAGCGAGUUCCAGAGCGAAGCCAAGAGGGUAAACAUGUAGUCAGAUUAUAGAACAAUUGUAGUCA